GCCUCUAUAGUCAGUGGCAGAGCACUGUCUUGUAAACCAGGGGUCGAGAGUUCGAUCCUCUCUGGAGGCA
RNAcentral lists this transfer RNA (70 nucleotides) under Caligus rogercresseyi. It matches the Rfam family "tRNA". Rfam says of the family: Transfer RNA (tRNA) molecules are approximately 80 nucleotides in length. Their secondary structure includes four short double-helical elements and three loops (D, anti-codon, and T loops). Lineage: Eukaryota; Metazoa; Arthropoda; Copepoda; Siphonostomatoida; Caligidae. The record is from Rfam by way of RNAcentral.